This 125-nucleotide ribosomal RNA is filed under the name Lepisosteus oculatus (spotted gar). The record is from RNAcentral. Lineage: Eukaryota; Metazoa; Chordata; Actinopteri; Semionotiformes; Lepisosteidae.
GCCAGCAGCCAUAUCACCCUGCAACUCUGGACAACAACUGGCAGCCCUCUGAAGCUCAGCAGGUGUGAGCCUGGUCAGUACCUGGAUGGGAGACCUCCAGGGGAAAACUAAGGUUGCUGCUGGAA